Molecule: ribosomal RNA, 253 nt
Filed under: uncultured bacterium
Lineage: Bacteria
Description: partial 16S ribosomal RNA
Rfam family: Bacterial small subunit ribosomal RNA
Source: RNAcentral
GACAGAGGUGCCAAGCGUUAGGCGGAAUCACUGGGCUUAAAGCGUGUGUAGGUGGAGCGUUAAGUGCCUUGUGAAAUCCCGCGGCUCAACCGCGGAACUGCUGGGCAUACUGGCGCUCUUGAGCCAAUCAGGGGUCGUCGGAACAAACGGUGGAGCGGUGAAAUGCGUAGAUAUCGUUUGGAACGCCGAAGGCGAAAGCAGACGACUGGGAUUGAGCUGACACUGAGACACGAAAGCCAGGGGAUCAAACAGG